Long non-coding RNA from Vicia villosa (hairy vetch), 264 nucleotides. RefSeq lists it as uncharacterized. The transcript has 3 exons. Lineage: Eukaryota; Viridiplantae; Streptophyta; Magnoliopsida; Fabales; Fabaceae. The record is from RefSeq and is a predicted model, not a curated record.
GGGUGUUUCAAUAAUCUUCUUCUAAGAUCUGUCUUCUUCUACUCAACAAGAAAGGAAAAGGAUGCAGAUCCAUCAUUGACCGAGUUCUAUUUUCGCACACAUCGGAAAAAGGAUCAAAGUUGGGUUGGAGUUCAUGCUGAAUCUACAUAUGAUAAAUUUGAACAGAAAAAGUUGGAGAUUUCUUCUCAGAAUCCAACUAUUCCAGGAGAGGACGGAGCUGAUAAUCAACCAACUAAUGAAAUGCCACCUGAUUUGGAUAUAUGG